AUGAACGCUAGCUACAGGCUUAACACAUGCAAGUCGAGGGGCAGCAUUUCAGUUUGCUUGCAAACUGGAGAUGGCGACCGGCGCACGGGUGAGUAACACGUAUCCAACCUGCCGAUAACUCGGGGAUAGCCUUUCGAAAGAAAGAUUAAUACCCGAUGGUAUAAUCAGACCGCAUGGUCUUGUUAUUAAAGAAUUUCGGUUAUCGAUGGGGAUGCGUUCCAUUAGGCAGUUGGUGAGGUAGCGGCUCACCAAACCUUCGAUGGAUAGGGGUUCUGAGAGGAAGGUCCCCCACAUUGGAACUGAGACACGGUCCAAACUCCUACGGGAGGCAGCAGUGAGGAAUAUUGGUCAAUGGGCGCAGGCCUGAACCAGCCAAGUAGCGUGAAGGAUGACUGCCCUAUGGGUUGUAAACUUCUUUUAUAUGGGAAUAAAGUUUUCCACGUGUGGAAUUUUGUAUGUACCAUAUGAAUAAGGAUCGGCUAACUCCGUGCCAGCAGCCGCGGUAAUACGGAGGAUCCGAGCGUUAUCCGGAUUUAUUGGGUUUAAAGGGAGCGUAGGUGGACAGUUAAGUCAGUUGUGAAAGUUUGCGGCUCAACCGUAAAAUUGCAGUUGAUACUGGCUGUCUUGAGUACAGUAGAGGUGGGCGGAAUUCGUGGUGUAGCGGUGAAAUGCUUAGAUAUCACGAAGAACUCCGAUUGCGAAGGCAGCUCACUGGACUGCAACUGACACUGAUGCUCGAAAGUGUGGGUAUCAAACAGGAUUAGAUACCCUGGUAGUCCACACAGUAAACGAUGAAUACUCGCUGUUUGCGAUAUACAGUAAGCGGCCAAGCGAAAGCAUUAAGUAUUCCACCUGGGGAGUACGCCGGCAACGGUGAAACUCAAAGGAAUUGACGGGGGCCCGCACAAGCGGAGGAACAUGUGGUUUAAUUCGAUGAUACGCGAGGAACCUUACCCGGGCUUAAAUUGCAUUUGAAUAAUCUGGAAACAGGUUAGCCGCAAGGCAAAUGUGAAGGUGCUGCAUGGUUGUCGUCAGCUCGUGCCGUGAGGUGUCGGCUUAAGUGCCAUAACGAGCGCAACCCUUAUCUUUAGUUACUAACAGGUCAUGCUGAGGACUCUAGAGAGACUGCCGUCGUAAGAUGUGAGGAAGGUGGGGAUGACGUCAAAUCAGCACGGCCCUUACGUCCGGGGCUACACACGUGUUACAAUGGGGGGUACAGAAGGCAGCUACCUGGUGACAGGAUGCUAAUCCCAAGAGCCUCUCUCAGUUCGGAUCGAAGUCUGCAACCCGACUUCGUGAAGCUGGAUUCGCUAGUAAUCGCGCAUCAGCCAUGGCGCGGUGAAUACGUUCCCGGGCCUUGUACACACCGCCCGUCAAGCCAUGAAAGCCGGGGGUACCUGAAGUACGUAACCGCAAGGAGCGUCCUAGGGUAAAACUGGUAAUUGGGG
RNAcentral lists this ribosomal RNA (1448 nucleotides) under uncultured organism. RNAcentral's name for it is "SSU rRNA". It matches the Rfam family "Bacterial small subunit ribosomal RNA". The record is from RNAcentral.